GACAGAGGCCUCAAGCGUUAGGCGGAAUCACUGGGCUUAAAGCGUGUGUAGGCGGAUCGUUAAGUGCCUUGUGAAAUCCCACGGCUUAACUGUGGAACGGCUGGGCAUACUGGCGGUCUUGAGCCAUCUAGGGGCGACUGGAACAAACGGUGGAGCGGUGAAAUGCGUAGAUAUCGUUUGGAACGCCAAUGGUGAAAACAGGUCGCUGGGGUUGUGCUGACGCUGAGACACGAAAGCCAGGGGAGCAAACGGG
RNAcentral lists this ribosomal RNA (253 nucleotides) under uncultured bacterium. Its description in RNAcentral is "partial 16S ribosomal RNA". It matches the Rfam family "Bacterial small subunit ribosomal RNA", at positions 524 to 776 of the family's 1533-position model. The record is from RNAcentral.